Brassica rapa (field mustard) is the source of this 5297-nucleotide long non-coding RNA. RefSeq lists it as uncharacterized. The record is from RefSeq and is a predicted model, not a curated record. NCBI's taxonomy places the organism in Eukaryota, Viridiplantae, Streptophyta, Magnoliopsida, Brassicales, Brassicaceae.
GCGGUUAAAAAAUCUAGUUUAGCUAAAAUCUAAUAAACAUAUGAAAAUGAGAAAAAUAAACUAAUAUUAUGGAGAAGAUGACAAACUAUAAUAAAAGAUUGAUUAUGUUUCAUAUCCAAUCCAGUAAUAAAUAUGAUUUAAAAAUAUCCAGUAACAAAUAGUAUGAUUUUAAAACAGAAUAAUAAAAAUUGGUCCUAAAUCGUGAAAGUUACAAAAUUUUGCAAAAUAGUUAUAUGUCUAAUUAAAAUGUUUGAAUAGUUAUAUUAUUUAAAUUAAUGAUUCAACUAAAACUAAUUAUAAAUCAGUAAUUUAGCUAAAACCUAAUAAAAUAAUAAAUAAACAAAAUAAACUAAGAUUAUGGAAAAUAUGACAAAACAUCAAAUUUACUUCUCAAAUAAUAGUAUAGAUAUAACAAACUGAAAACAAUGAUACUACAUUCAACAAUAUUAUGCAUUUACGUUUCUUUGAUCUUUUGUUUAAGGCAUCUACAAACCUACUCUAUUUUUUUCUCCAAAAUGGAGUAAAAGAGAAUAUAGAAUAAAAAAUGUUCUAACCAUACUCCAUAUCUCACUACAUAAUGAUAUUUACGUCAUAUAUAGAGUAAUCUAUUUUUUUUUGUUCAUUACUCCAAAAAUGGAGUAGGGUUGGAGAAAAAAAUAGAGUUUUACAUUGGAGACGUUCUAAAUCAAUGAGGUGAAACCAUUGAUGCUUUGGUAUGAAGUGAAACAGAGACCUGAGCCAAGUGCAAAAAAAGAAGAAGAAGAUCUGAGCCAAGUGGAUCAAUGAAAACAGCUCAGCAAGAUGUAGAUGGGAUGUUGAACUUAUUUGGUGGCAAUUAAUUAUCUCUUUACCCAAAGCCCCACACUAAUCAUAAUGGGUUUUGAUGAUUCUCAAAAUUAUUUACUAAUUAAAAUUUUAUACAAAUUAUAAACCAGUUGGACUCUUGGAUUAUUUAAGGGAAAUUUACCAAAAACAACUUAUAUAUUCAUUUUAAACAUAAAAGUGUACCAUAUAUUCAUUCAAAUGUAAAACCAACCUAAAUGGUGGUAAAAUUACUAUUUAAACCUUAUGACCAAACAAAAAAACCAGAAAGUUAUUUUACGAUUUUGCUCGGAAUUCUACACGUAAUAGAAAGAAGUCUACACAUAUGUAAACCUACUAAGAAGUCUACUUUGUAGAUUUACUCUGUAGUCUACAUCGUAAUUUAAUCUAAUAAUUUAAUUUUAAAAAUGUAUAAAAAUAGUUUUUGUGAAACUUUUAAUUAAGCAUCAAUAUAAAAGUUAAUAUGAAGUAUAUAAAUUAAAAUUUUAUAUAACUGAACAAUUUAAAAGAAUAUAUAUAUUUGGUAACAUGUGUUAGAUAAUGUUUAUGGUUUAGCAACAAAAUGUUCUAACAUGUUAUGUCUUUAAGGGUUAGAAUCUUAGGGUUAGAUUUUAGAUAAAAAAUUUCUUUUCUUUUAUUGACUUAAAUUUGCAUAUUAAUGUUGAGUAGUUUAUAUUUUGUAUAUGUCAAUAUUUGAUGCAAUAAUUGAAAUUUUUUUAUUAUCAAGCAAACAUUUUGGGUUCAAGAUUUGUGGUUUAGGGUAUAGUAGAAAUACAAUAAAGUCUACUUCAUUGUAGACGUCUACAAAAAAAAUCCUUAUUUUAAAUUUACUUCUUUAUAAAUAAAAAUGUAAAAUAAUAUAUUAUAACUAUUAAAAAAUAAAAAAAGAAAUUUAGUAAAUCAUAUAUUAAAAUUGAAACAAUAAAGAAAGAAGAAAACAAGAAAAAUCAUUGCAGACUUCUAACGAGGUCUACCCUACUCACUGGUAGCAAUUUAACCCAACUGGAAUUAACCAAUUUAAUUUUAACCUAACCGAACUUAAACCUAUUCUUUUUAACAUAAUGUGAAAUCAUAUAUUAAAAUUAUUAGAAGACUACGGAACGAAAUUAAAUUUGUAUAUUAAUUUUUCUAAAACAAUAAAGAGCAAAAAAAGUUCUAGUAGACUAAGUUGUAAGUAUACCAAAUCGGAAACCAUUUGAAUUUACAAAAAUCAAAAUAAUUUUGAUUAAUUUUAGUUUCUGUAUGAAUAAAUUAAAAUUAUAGUCUUCAAAUUAAUACUCAAAAAUUGUAAGAUCAUAUAUUAAAAUUAUUAAAACAAUAAAGAAUACCCAACAAUAAUAAAAGUAUCAUAGUAACCUUCCAAAAAAGUCUUCUACGUAGACUUACAAUAAAGUAUAUUCUAAGAUUUCGUAAAAUGGCUGCAGAAGUUUUUAAAAAUCUUUCACUUCUCGCUAAAACUCUCUCUGUUAUCUCUAAAACUCUCUCAUUUCUCUGUAAAUUCUUUGAAUGUGAAGAAAAGUUUUGUUUAAAUUGUUAAUCUCUUAUCAUGUCUUUCUCACAAUAUUAUCUUGUUUUUGUUGGUACUAUUAUUCAUGCUUUUCAUUUUCUCCUCUAAUUUUAUAUCUAUUGAUUUUAAAUGUUUAUUUUUAUAUUUAUAUUCAAAUAAAGUUAUAGAUUCAAAUUCUAUGCAUUUACUUUGUUACUAUUUUAUCUUAUAAGUUCUAUUUUUGAAGUUUUUUCAGAUUUAAAAUUAUUUUUCACAUUUCAAAAUGUAAGAUCUUAUCAGAUCUGAAAUAAAUUGAUAGAGUAGACUUAUAAUAAAGUCUGCUUAUAAGUUAAAGUUAGUAGACUUUAAAUCUAAUAAACCACAUUUUUUAAGAAGACUUCAUAGCAAGUCUAUAAAAUAUUCUUAAUUUUUUUUUAGAUCUAAAGUUACUCAUCUUAUUAAGGGAAAUUGCACCCAGUGACUAAGAAAAAAAACAAAAUUAACUAAACAACCAAAAACACACUCUCUCUCCUCUUUUAUCUUCCUAUCUCUCUCUACUCUCUCUCCAGAAAACUAAUUUUGUUUAUUUUCUUGGUUAUUUCACAAAUAACCCCUCUUAUUAAUGUAUAUACUUUCACAUCCAAAAAUUAAAAUAGAAACACCACUCACGCCGCCGACCAGAGAUAUCAGAUAGCGAAGGGGUAAAUAUCAAAACUUCUUCUUUAGUUAACAACUAGAGAUUAACCCACACAUCCACACGGGUAUUGUUUCUUACAUUCUUAUACAUUGAUAUUUGUUUUUCAUAAUUUGUGUUAUAUAUUUUAUAUGAGUCGUAAUAUAAGUAAUUUAUAUUUGAUACAAAUAUCCGAACUCAUUUUAGAUAAAUUUGUUAUUUAUCUAUACAUCAGAACCGAACUCAUCCAGACCCCGAAGAACCCGAAUCAAAACCCACACAUAAAUUUAUAAUAUUCAAACUGGACAUAAUUUCAAAACAAAAAAAAACGAUACCCUAAAAGAAUAACCCGUACUUAAAUGGAUAGCCAAUGUUCAUGCCUAACUGAUUUUAUAAACUAAUAAAAAAGAUUCUUUCUAUGUGUUUGGCUAAAUUAAAUGAAAAAUAAUGUGUUUUUUAUUUAGUAAAAUAAUUAUAUGGACUGAAAAACUAAGUGACAAUAAAUGUAAUACAUUUUUAUUAUUUUGAUUUAAGUUAUUAUUUUAUUCAUAAAAACAUGUAUUUGAAUUAUGUUUUUAGCCACGUAAUUUUCUACCGAUUGAAACUAAAAUUAAAAAAAAUUAGUAAAACAAAAAAAAAACAAAUGUUUAUCCAUAUGCAAAACCCAACUAUUUUAUUAUAUUUGGCACAAAGUUAAUGUUGAUUAACUAAUAAAUAAAUAUAUGCACUAUUAUUAUUAUUGUAAUAUAGUUAAUAAUGUUAUGUAUUGUUAAGAUAAUAUAGUUAAUGAAAUUGUUAAAGUAAGUGAAAUAUGAAAGGAAAAUUAAUGUAAUUAUAUUAUUAAAAUUACUAAAAAUAACUAUACUUCCUUUUUUAUAUAGCUAACCAUGCUUCCAAACAAUUCUCAUUUAUACUGCUAUUCAUAUUUCCAAACAGUAACAAAAUGUACUUCAGUUUAAUAAUAUAGAUAAAGGGUUGAUAGAAACAAACUAACUCAUUGUAGUUUUUGUUGCUGAUCAAGUUUAGGUAGUAUGAUGAAGAAGGAUUCUUAGGUAGCAUGGUAUACUAUAUUUUUUCUGGCACCAGGUGCAUAAAUAUAAAUUUUAAAUUUUUAAAUUAUAUUUUGUUAUUUGCUUACAAUAUUUAAUUUUAAAUUUAAUAAUAUGUAAUAUUUAAGAUAUAUAUAUUAUUUAAAUUUAAAUAUAAUAAUAUAUAUAUAAUUAUAAUCCUGGAAAGAUUUUUAAUCUAUUUCUUUGGGUUAAAAUAUAUUCAAUCAAAUUUUAUAAAAAUAAGAAAUUUUUUUGUUAGGUAUAUAACUAUCAAAACGUAAAACAAAUAAUAUUUUAAAAUUUGUAGAUAUUAAAAAGAAACUAAUGGUAUUGAAAUUAAGAAAACAUGUUUUAAAAAAAGUGCAUAAAAUUUGGAAGAAUUGUUUUAGUAAUAAAAAUUAUAUAAUUAUAAAAUAUAAUUAAAUAAUAUUUCAAAAAAUUUAAAAUAUUAUUAUAUUUCUAUGUCUAUUAUUAUAUUAUUUGUUGUUCUAUUAAUGAUGAUCUAUGAUUGAUUACUAUAUUCUAGAAAACUUACCAAAAAUAUAAAUCAACACUAAAUGUAAAAUGUCUAUGUCACAAUUAGCUUGAAACCAUGUCACCAUUGUUAGUGUGUCUUGUCAUCACAAAAUCAUUAUGGUGAUGAUACAUGACAAAUUAAGGAUAUUCAUAUAGUAUAUGAUCUUUGUAUAAAAAGCAUUUUUCUUAUCUUGAAGUAUAUAUUUAACAUUAACAUAAAUUAAACAUAAACUAUUUUUUCUUAUAAACUGAAAUUUUUUUCUCUUAACAUGAUUUAUUUUACCAAUUGUAGUUUUUAUAAGUAAUUUUAUCUUAUUUGGAUGAGUUUAAAUUAACACCAAUUUUAUUUAUUUAAAUCAGUUCGGAGACUUGGGUUAAAUGAAUCUUUUUAGAUAAUUUUAUUAAUAUUGGCAAAAAAUAUCUUGAACUUUUAAGUUCUCAUAUAUAUAUACUAUAUGGUAAAAUGUAUUACAAAAUUUGUUGACCAACCAAUUUUCGAAAAAAUGGCACAAUUGUAUCUAAACUCAUAAGUGAGUAGUACAACCAAUUAUCUAUUUUGUGUUAGUAGUUUUGUUUUGUAAUAUUUUUUUUAUUUUGUCAUUCAAUAGUUUUCUUUAAUUUCUGGGACUAAUAUAACCUGCAGAAACAAAAAUUAGAAAUAAUUAUAUUAUCAAUAUUUUUGUUCGAUUUAACAUGAAAUUAAAACUAUAGAAAUGCUCACAAACUUUCUAUAUAAACUUUUUAUAAAAAA